Molecule: long non-coding RNA, 518 nt
Organism: Perca flavescens (yellow perch)
Lineage: Eukaryota; Metazoa; Chordata; Actinopteri; Perciformes; Percidae
Exons: 3
Source: RefSeq, a predicted model, not a curated record
CUGCAGCAGCUGUAAAAAGGGACCUUUCUUUAUCUUUUCGUUCCCAUUUUCGGACUUGUUGAAGUGAUGUGUGUAACGUGAGAACAACCACUUCAAAGUGAAAAGCAUCGCCCAAGUCACCACCUUCCUCCAAGGGCUCACCGAAUUUGAGUGGAAGACAUCAAACUAGUACGGACCACCCCACCAGAGCAUAAAUACUCUUGUCUGGAUUGGAGGCCCCCAAGCAGAUGUGGAUCAGCAAGCAGAAGUACCAUGGGUUCGGCCCCUCCAUCAUCCUUCACAAAUCUUCUAAAGCUUCUAAACAAGACUGUUCCUCCUUCCCCUCCCCAACCAAAUACCCAUCAACUUCAGCUCUGUGGUAAACAACCACACCACAUUUUUCAUACAAGUUACAGUAUCAUACUGUACAAUGGAACUGCGGUUAGGGCAUCAUACUGUAAAAAACAUGUACACUUAUGGUAUUUUAAGGGGGUAGUUACAGUGACUCCGCAUAUCUACAUAACAAGUCUAACAGUGUA